This 404-nucleotide ribosomal RNA is filed under the name Actinomycetes bacterium. Its description in RNAcentral is "Actinobacteria bacterium partial 16S ribosomal RNA". It matches the Rfam family "Bacterial small subunit ribosomal RNA", at positions 355 to 776 of the family's 1533-position model. The record is from RNAcentral. Lineage: Bacteria; Bacillati; Actinomycetota; Actinomycetes.
UGGGGAAUAUUGGACAAUUGGCGCAAGCCUGAUCCAGCCAUGCCGCGUGAGUGAUGAAGGCCCUAGGGUUGUAAAGCUCUUUCACCUGUGAAGAUAAUGACGGUAACCGGAGAAGAAGCCCCGGCUAACUUCGUGCCAGCAGCCGCGGUAAUACGAAGGGGGCUAGCGUUGUUCGGAUUUACUGGGCGUAAAGCGCACGUAGGCGGACUAUUAAGUCAGGGGUGAAAUCCCGGGGCUCAACCCCGGAACUGCCUUUGAUACUGGUAGUCUUGAGUUCGAGAGAGGUGAGUGGAAUUCCGAGUGUAGAGGUGAAAUUCGUAGAUAUUCGGAGGAACACCAGUGGCGAAGGCGGCUCACUGGCUCGAUACUGACGCUGAGGUGCGAAAGCGUGGGGAGCAAACAGG